GCCCGGAUGGUCUAGUGGUAUGAUUCCUGCUUUGGGUGCAGGAGGUCCCCGGUUCAAACCCGGAUUCGGGCC
RNAcentral lists this transfer RNA (72 nucleotides) under Pyronema omphalodes CBS 100304. RNAcentral describes it as "tRNA-Pro". It matches the Rfam family "tRNA". Rfam says of the family: Transfer RNA (tRNA) molecules are approximately 80 nucleotides in length. Their secondary structure includes four short double-helical elements and three loops (D, anti-codon, and T loops). Further hydrogen bonds mediate the characteristic L-shaped molecular structure. tRNAs have two regions of fundamental functional importance: the anti-codon, which is responsible for specific mRNA codon recognition, and the 3' end, to which the tRNAs corresponding amino acid is attached (by aminoacyl-tRNA synthetases). tRNAs cope with the degeneracy of the genetic code in two manners: having more than one tRNA (with a specific anti-codon) for a particular amino acid; and 'wobble' base-pairing, i.e. permitting non-standard base-pairing at the 3rd anti-codon position. The record is from RNAcentral. Lineage: Eukaryota; Fungi; Ascomycota; Pezizomycetes; Pezizales; Pyronemataceae.